RNAcentral lists this ribosomal RNA (1464 nucleotides) under Bacillus sp. THK-S25.7. Its description in RNAcentral is "bacterial SSU rRNA". It matches the Rfam family "Bacterial small subunit ribosomal RNA". Lineage: Bacteria; Bacillati; Bacillota; Bacilli; Caryophanales; Bacillaceae. The record is from RNAcentral.
UGGCAGGCGGCGUGCUAUAAUGCAAGUCGAGCGGACAGAAGGGAGCUUGCUCCCGGAUGUUAGCGGCGGACGGGUGAGUAACACGUGGGUAACCUGCCUGUAAGACUGGGAUAACUCCGGGAAACCGGAGCUAAUACCGGAUAGUUCCUUGAACCGCAUGGUUCAAGGAUGAAAGACGGUUUCGGCUGUCACUUACAGAUGGACCCGCGGCGCAUUAGCUAGUUGGUGAGGUAACGGCUCACCAAGGCGACGAUGCGUAGCCGACCCUGAGGAGGGUGAAUUCGUCCACACUGGGACUGAGACACGGCCCAGACUCCUACGGGAGGCAGCAGUAGGGAAUCUUCCGCAAUGGACGAAAGUCCUGACGGAGCAACGGCCGCGUGAGUGAUGAAGGUUUUCGGAUCGUAAAGCUCUGUUGUUAGGGAAGAACAAGUGCAAGAGUAACUGCUUGCACCUUGACGGUACCUAACCAGAAAGCCACGGCUAACUACGUGCCAGCAGCCGCGGUAAUACGUAGGUGGCAAGCGUUGUCCGGAAUUAUUGGGCGUAAAGGGCUCGCAGGCGGUUUCUUAAGUCUGAUGUGAAAGCCCCCGGCUCAACCGGGGAGGGUCAUUGGAAACUGGGAAACUUGAGUGCAGAAGAGGAGAGUGGAAUUCCACGUGUAGCGGUGAAAUGCGUAGAGAUGUGGAGGAACACCAGUGGCGAAGGCGACUCUCUGGUCUGUAACUGACGCUGAGGAGCGAAAGCGUGGGGAGCGAACAGGAUUAGAUACCCUGGUAGUCCACGCCGUAAACGAUGAGUGCUAAGUGUUAGGGGGUUUCCGCCCCUUAGUGCUGCAGCUAACGCAUUAAGCACUCCGCCUGGGGAGUACGGUCGCAAGACUGAAACUCAAAGGAAUUGACGGGGGCCCGCACAAGCGGUGGAGCAUGUGGUUUAAUUCGAAGCAACGCGAAGAACCUUACCAGGUCUUGACAUCCUCUGACAACCCUAGAGAUAGGGCUUUCCCUUCGGGGACAGAGUGACAGGUGGUGCAUGGUUGUCGUCAGCUCGUGUCUGGAGAUGUUGGGUUAAGUCCCGCAACGAACGGCAACCCUUGAUCUUAAGUUGGCCAGCAUUCAGUUGGGCACUCUAAGGUGACUGCCGGUGACAAACCGGAGGAAGGUGGGGAUGACGUCAAAUCAUCAUGCCCCUUAUGACCUGGGCUACACACGUGCUACAAUGGACAGAACAAAGGGCUGCGAGACCGCAAGGUUUAGCCAAUCCCACAAAUCUGUUCUCAGUUCGGAUCGCAGUCUGCAACUCGACUGCGUGAAGCUGGAAUCGCUAGUAAUCGCGGAUCAGCAUGCCGCGGUGAAUACGUUCCCGGGCCUUGUACACACCGCCCGUCACACCACGAGAGUUUGCAACACCCGAAGUCGGUGAGGUAACCUUUAUGGAGCCAGCCGCCGAAGGUGUCAGAUGUCA